This 72-nucleotide transfer RNA is filed under the name Camelus bactrianus (Bactrian camel). It matches the Rfam family "tRNA". From Rfam's summary of the family: Transfer RNA (tRNA) molecules are approximately 80 nucleotides in length. Lineage: Eukaryota; Metazoa; Chordata; Mammalia; Artiodactyla; Camelidae. RNAcentral also lists the same sequence under 2 other names. The record is from Rfam by way of RNAcentral.
GAGGGCAUAGCUCAGGGGUAGGGCACAUGUUUAGCAUACAUGAGCUUCUGAGUUCAAUCCCCAGUAGCUCCA